CAGGGACAAUCAGAUAUUGCCUGUUCAUUCAAAAUUGCUAGUAGAUGAUGAUGUGGGUCUCGAUUGACGCCUUUCUGGUACGCGUCUUUUAUCCUCUAUUUAGUUUUUCUGCCCUCGAUUGUUGCUAGUGGCACUCUCCCUCGAUGAUACUGUAUGAUAGUUUAGAGUGAAGCUCGUGAAGUGAAAAAUACGCGAGUUAAGGGAUUGGGUUGAGAGGGGCAAGAGAUACACAGCUAAUGACAUAUAUUCUCCAUGUUGAAGGUUUUUGAGUAAAUCAUUCCUCCAAAAAUACGAUUUGAAAACCGAAUAAAAAGUAAAUAUACUUGUAUUGGAUUCAUACUCGAAUCCAAUACUACGUUUCAUCAGGCUACACGUCCAAGUCCAAGUUCGCUUGCUUUUUCUAGCCCUCCCGGAACUCUUUAAGACAUAUUCUAGCAACAUUUUCCAAACACAUUAUGUAUAAG
This 464-nucleotide unclassified non-coding RNA is filed under the name Hevea brasiliensis (rubber tree). Lineage: Eukaryota; Viridiplantae; Streptophyta; Magnoliopsida; Malpighiales; Euphorbiaceae. The record is from RNAcentral.